RNAcentral lists this ribosomal RNA (465 nucleotides) under Vreelandella stevensii. Its description in RNAcentral is "partial 16S ribosomal RNA". It matches the Rfam family "Bacterial small subunit ribosomal RNA", at positions 338 to 795 of the family's 1533-position model. Lineage: Bacteria; Pseudomonadati; Pseudomonadota; Gammaproteobacteria; Oceanospirillales; Halomonadaceae. The record is from RNAcentral.
CCUACGGGGCGCAGCAGUGGGGAAUAUUGGACAAUGGGCGAAAGCCUGAUCCAGCCAUGCCGCGUGUGUGAAGAAGGCCUUCGGGUUGUAAAGCACUUUCAGUGGGGAAGAAAGCCUUGGGGCUAAUACCCUCGAGGAAGGACAUCACCCACAGAAGAAGCACCGGCUAACUCCGUGCCAGCAGCCGCGGUAAUACGGAGGGUGCGAGCGUUAAUCGGAAUUACUGGGCGUAAAGCGCGCGUAGGCGGUCUGAUAAGCCGGUUGUGAAAGCCCCGGGCUCAACCUGGGAACGGCAUCCGGAACUGUCAGGCUAGAGGGCAGGAGAGGAAGGUAGAAUUCCCGGUGUAGCGGUGAAAUGCGUAGAGAUCGGGAGGAAUACCAGUGGCGAAGGCGGCCUUCUGGACUGACACUGACGCUGAGGUGCGAAAGCGUGGGUAGCAAACAGGAUUAGAUACCCUUGUAGUC